UUUGCAAAUUAGUUUACUUUACAGCUUAAUCACUUUCUUCUUUCCCUCUAAAUCAAACGGGAAGCCCAUUGUGUGUCUGUCUUUUCUAAUUAAAUUGCUAAGAAAAAUACCAACACGUACGCCAAUGGAACACAGUAGUUCCCUGUAUCAAAGCCUUCCAGUUACUGCUUUGUAUGACACACACACCUUGCCAUUUAAAUGCACAAAUUGUUAAUAGAUUACCAUGAGAAGAAAUUAUUCCCCGCUACUGUUCAGCACUCAGAAGAGGCCGUCCUAGGAAGAGUUUGAGGCUCUAAAAACACUCAUUUUUCUUACCUUGCCGAAUGUAUAACAUUUUGUCAGGAUUAUUUUUCAACAAUUACAAUCUUCUCAAGUUGCUUAUUUUGUCAUUUCCAUAUGUAUGGAAAUGCCUCUAGGCUUAUUUCUUUAAGACAAACACUAUACAUUGGUUGCUCGAUUUUCAUUCCGACUCUGUGAGGAGUUGGCUCCUCUGUGCUUCUCAAGUUAUCCGACUGUUCUCGCUCCAUAAUCACACCAUUUCUGCUCUCUAGGGACGCUCAGCAAGACCGGGUGAUAACCAUCAGCCUGAAGGGCUCCGCGAUUUUCUGACCAAAUCUCUAAAAUCUUCUCAUUUUUAAGGGAAAGAACCAAGAAGGAAAAGAAAAAUUCCCACUAGCACAUCCGAGACUAUGUCCUAAAUUUUUAGGGAGGGGAAAUUCUGGACGCACAGAUUCCCAGAAAGGCGAGGGCACAGCUUGCUGCUACCCGCACAGCACCAGACACACACGCUCUGCCGGCCGCCUGACAUUUCCGUGCCGCCCUAAGGUCGCGGCCGUGCCCUGCCGGGGGUUCCCCACCGCCCGCAGCCCCACGUCGCGCACACGGAGCACCCGGGGGGCUGCAGCUGAGCCCGGGGACCGCAGCGCCCCCCGCGCCGCCGCCCUACGGGGCUACGGGCGGUGCAGCUCACCUGGCCGCGGCCAGCUCCGCCGCCGCCCCCGCUGCCAUUUGUUGCUCGCGUUCGGAGGGAGCAGCUCUCCUCCCCAUCGCCGCCGCCUGCUCCGUAGCAACUGGUCCGGGUCAGUGAUGUCAAGAAACUUCAUGCUCCUCUCAGCGCAUGGGCACCACCGCUGCGUUUAUAGAUGCUGAGGUUUUGUCCCAAGAAGAAUAAUGGAGAGAAGUGAUCUUUGCAGAGAACCACAAAUCCUUUUUAUCUUGUAAUUUCCAUUGGUACCUCUGGUAGCAACACGCAUUGUUCCGGAGCCCAUCUUGCUUCCUGAUGCUGCACUUACAAGGAUUGGAGGACUGGACCUGAAAUAAUCUCUUCAAGAUGUACAUGUACCAGUAGUUCCUGAUUUCUUGUAUUUGAGAAGUUCUGUCAUACUGAAUGGUCUUGCCAGCUUUGCACAUACUCCCCUUUCUACAUAGUGAGGAGCUGUUCUGUAUUAAAGAAUAGAGCUUCUGGUUUAUAUAACAGAAAAUCCUUAGAUUGUCAAUAAUUCAUUAGCUCUGAAAGAGAAACAGCAGCUGUAAAUAAGCUCAACUUGUACAGCUCAUACUCCACCUAGCUCUGAUUUAGAGAAAAAUAAAAAGUGGUGAAGAACAGCGCUCUGCCA
Molecule: long non-coding RNA, 1616 nt
Organism: Phasianus colchicus (ring-necked pheasant)
Lineage: Eukaryota; Metazoa; Chordata; Aves; Galliformes; Phasianidae
Source: Ensembl